Molecule: ribosomal RNA, 253 nt
Filed under: uncultured bacterium
Lineage: Bacteria
Description: partial 16S ribosomal RNA
Rfam family: Bacterial small subunit ribosomal RNA
Source: RNAcentral
AACGUAGGUUCCGAGCGUUAUCCGGAUUUACUGGGCGUAAAGCGCGUUCAGGCGGUUUGGCAAGUCGGGCAUGAAAUCUCUCGGCUCAACCGGGAGAGGUUGUCCGAUACUUCCAGACUUGAGGGCAGUAGAGGGUGGUGGAAUUCCGGGUGUAGUGGUGAAAUGCGUAGAUAUUCGCAAGAACACCAGUGGCGAAGGCGGCUCACUGGCCCGGUACUGACGCUGAGGUGCGAAAGCGUGGGGAGCAAACAGG